This 2062-nucleotide ribosomal RNA is filed under the name soil metagenome. RNAcentral's name for it is "bacterial LSU rRNA". It matches the Rfam family "Bacterial large subunit ribosomal RNA", at positions 3 to 1977 of the family's 2925-position model. The record is from RNAcentral.
UCAAGCUACGAAGGGCGUACGGUGGAUGCCUUGGCGCAAGCAGGCGAUGAAGGACGUGGCUAGCUGCGAAAAGCUCCGGGGAGCCGCUAAGCAGGCUUUGAUCCGGAGGUCUCCGAAUGGGGCAACCCGAUGUCAUUAAUCUGGCAUCAUCCCGCACUGAAUUCAUAGGUGCGUGGAGGCAAACGGGGGGAAGUGAAACAUCUCAGUACCCCUAGGAAGAGAAAUCAAGAGAGAUUCCCCUAGUAGUGGCGAGCGAACGGGGAAGAGCCCAAACCACCUGUAGCAAUACUGGUGGGGUUGUGGGGCUGCUUCAGGGUUUACCCGGGAAGUCAAAAAAUCGUAAUGUAGCAGAAGGUUCCUGGAACGGACAACCAAAGAGGGUGAGAGUCCCGUAAGCGAAACAUGGCGAUCUUCCUGGAAGCAGUUCCCGAGUACCGCGGGGCACGUGGAACCCCGUGGGAAACUGGGAAGACCAUUUCCCAAGGCUAAAUACUUGCUUGCGACCGAUAGUGAACUAGUACCGUGAGGGAAAGGUGAAAAGCACCCCAGUGCGGGGAGUGAAAUAGUACCUGAAACCGUACGCUUACAAGCAGUGGAAGGGCGUUUCAUCGCGGUUCGCCGCGUUGAUGCCUAACCGCGUGCCUUUUGCUUAAUGAGUCUGCGAGUUACUCUGUGCAGCAAGGCUAAGCCGAGCGAGGUGGAGCCGUAGCGAAAGCGAGUCUGAAUAGGGCGAUUGAGUUGCACGGAGUAGACCCGAAGCGGGAUGAUCUACCCAUGGCCAGGGUAAAGUCUCGGUAACACGAGAUGGAGGCCCGAACUGGUGGAGGUUGAAAACUCCUCGGAUGAGCUGUGGGUAGGGGUGAAAGGCUAAUCAAAUUCCGUGAUAGCUGGUUCUCCCCGAAAUAUAUUUAGGUAUAGCCUUGGAAGCUCACUGUCGGAGGUAGAGCACUGGAUGGGCUAGGGCCCUUACCGGGGUACCAAACCUAACCAAACUCCGAAUGCCGGCACGUGGAGUCCAGGAGUCAGACUACGGGUGAUAAGGUCCGUGGUCAAAAGGGAAACAGCCCAGACCGCCAGCUAAGGUCCCAAAGUCCGUGCUAAGUGGGAAAGGAUGUGGAAGCGCCCAGACAACCAGGAGGUUGGCUUAGAAGCAGCCAUCCUUUAAAGAAAGCGUAACAGCUCACUGGUCAAGCGAAUCCGCGCCGAAAAUGUAACGGGGCUCAAGCACGGUACCGAAGCUGCGGAUCGGCCUGGCAUUUCGGUGCUGAGUCGAUGGUAGGGGAGCAUUCCAGUCGCCUGUGAAGGGUGAUCGUGAGGACAUCUGGAGGUUCUGGAAGAGCUUAUGCAGACAUGAGUAGCGAUAAUGUCGGUGAGAAACCGACACGCCGUAAGUCCAAGGUUUCCUGGGUAAAGGUAAUCUGCUCAGGGUUAGUCGGUGCCUAAGCCGAGGCCGAAAGGCGUAGACGAUGGGAAACAGGUUAACAUUCCUGUACCACCGCGGCGGCGACAAAGACGCCAAGGGGGGACGGAGAAGGGUAGGUUGGCCGGGUGUUGGAUGUCCCGGUUUAAGCCAGUAGGCGGGAGGAGCAGGUAAAUCCACUCCUCUACUUCAAACGUCGAGAGGUGAUGACGAGCGAUUCUUUCGAGUCUCGCGAAGUGACUGAUCCCAUGCUUCCAAGAAAAUCCUCGUGGCGAGUCGUCGAGGUGACCGUACCGUAAACCGACUCAGGUGGACGGGUAGAGUAUACCAAGGCGCUUGAGAGAACCGUGGUUAAGGAACUCUGCAAAUUGACACCGUAACUUCGGAAGAAGGUGUACCCCCGGUAGGUGAAGGGAUUCGCUCCCGGAGCUGAAGGGGGUCGCAGUGAUCAGGGGGUAGCGACUGUUUAUCAAAAACACAGGACUCUGCAAAGUCGCAAGACGACGUAUAGGGUCUGACGCCUGCCCGGUGCCGGAAGGUUAAGGGGAUUUGUUAGCCGCAAGGCGAAGCUUUGAACCGAAGCCCCGGUAAACGGCGGCCGUAACUAUAACGGUCCUAAGGUAGCGAAAUUCCUUGUCGGGU